AAGGAAAAAUAAAAAAAGAACUAAAUGCAUUUAGAGGAAGGGAGGGGUCACUUCUGGCAUCUGAACUAGAUUUGGAAGGGUGGGUCCCAGUUGAAAAUACGGGAGAGGAGGUGGUGAGGCAGGCUGUGUGCUUGGAGAACCUGGGCCUUGUGGUCCUCUGUCGGGGGCAGUUCAGAGACAUCGCAGGGCAGCUCCUGUCCCACCAGCCUCCCUGUUCCUGCCCCACAGAAACAUUUCCCGUUUCCUCCAACAUGCCAUGCCCUUUUUUCUGUAUCCAGGUGUCCACCUAGAACACCUGUUUCAUCUGGUAGAAAUUCUACUCCUUCAGCCCCCCCACCCCCCUGUGGCGGUCACCUCUUCAGGGAAGCCUGCCACCCCAGGGCUGUUCCUGCCUGGCUUACUGCACCUCUUGCACAUGGUGUCAUUGCUUUCCUCUCUCUUUCUUAGGAAAACUAGUCUGCUGUCUUAACCCUCAGUGGAGCUUUUGAAAGUACAGAUUUUGAGGCAGAAGGUCCUGAGGCAGCAGGUCUGUGGGUAACUGAGAGGUGGCAGGGGAAGCCACCCCUUCAAGGGUGAGGCUAUGAUUUAUGUUUAUGUCCUGCCACCCAGAUAUACUUAGUAAAAGUUUGCUGAAUGAAAUAAACAUAUAACAAAGUAUCAAGUAUUGUAGCCAUUUGGUAAACCUGCCUGGAUACCAAAUUAAAAAGACCAUGGAGUUCCCAUCGUGGCGCAGUGGAAACAAAUCCAACUAGGAACCAUGAGGUUGCAGGUUUGGUCCCUGGCUUCACUCAGUGGGUUAAGGAUCCGUUGUUGCUGUGAGCUGUGCUGUAGGCGACAGAUGGGGCUUGGAUCCUGCGUUGCUGUGGCUGUGGUGCUAGGGGUCGAAUCGGAGCUGCAGCCACCGGCCUACGCCAGAGCCACAGCAACGCGGGAUCCGAGCCGCGUCUGCAACCUACACCACAGCUCACAGCAACGCCGGAUCGUUAACCCACUGAGCAAGGGCAGGGACCGAACCCGCAACCUCAUGUUUCCUCGUCGGAUUCGUUAACCACUGCGCCACAACGGGAACUCCCCUGUGUGAUAUUUUUAUUGACACUUGCUUGGUAGAGGCUUGAGUCCAAAGAGGCCUACUUUUUUUUUGGGCCCUUCCAGCAUGUGGAAGUUCCCAGGGUAGGGGUCAGAUUGGAGCCGCCGCUGCUGUCCUACACCACAGCCACAGCCACACUAGAUCCCGGCCACAUCUGUGACCUAUGCCGCAGCUUGUGGCAACGCUGGAUCCUUAACCCUCUGAGCAAGGCCACGGAUUGAACUCGAGUCCUCAUGGAUACUAGUUGGGUUCUUAACCUGCUGAACCACAACAGGAACUCCCUGGAGACAUUUUUGAUUGCCAGCUCUUGGGAGCUGCUACUGGCACCACAUGCAUGGAGGCAGGGAUGGCACUCGAUGGUGCAAAGGACAGGCAGCUGCCACGGGAGACCUCCUGGACAAGAUGUCAUUUGUGCGGAGGUUGAGAAAGCUUGCUCUGGGGGAUGAGGGAAUUGCUCAGUGUUUCUGCUCGGCGAAGUUAGGAACUUCAUCUUGCUGCCCCUCCCCUGAGCCCGUGACAGCUGUGUCCCCAACACCUGCAACGUGAUCUUUGUCACGGGGUCACGGCUCAGUACUAGUUGUGGAACCUCGUUGCCAGCAGUCCUCCCCUUUGGUGGGUGCUUUGCUGUUGCAGAUGGUACCGCCUUGAACCUCCCAGCAUACAUCUUUGUGCCUAUACCAGUCUUAGGGGAUCCGAGAAGCAGAAUUGCUGGGUCAAGAAGUACAGGCAUUUAAAAUUUCAGUAAAUG
RNAcentral lists this long non-coding RNA (1835 nucleotides) under Sus scrofa (pig). RNAcentral describes it as "lncRNA (ENSSSCG00015011789.1)". The record is from RNAcentral. Lineage: Eukaryota; Metazoa; Chordata; Mammalia; Artiodactyla; Suidae.